GUUGAUGCAGCACUUGCUUUGCAAUCCAAAGGCCAUGAGAUUCAUAUAGUUACUUCUUACCAUGAUCCUGGGCAUAGCUUUCCUGAAACCAAUGAUGGCACUAUUGCAGUUACUGUAAGUGGCAAUUGGCUCCCACGCAGCAUAUUUGGGAGAUUUCUUGCAUUGUGUGCUUAUGUACGCAUGGUAUGGGCAUCAUUCUACACAGUGUUUUUCAGUGAUUUGAACCCUCAAGUCUAUUUUUGUGAUCAGGUAUCAAUGUGCAUACCAGUUUUAAAGACAUUCACACUUGUGCCAGUCGUA
Molecule: long non-coding RNA, 300 nt
Organism: Daphnia pulicaria
Lineage: Eukaryota; Metazoa; Arthropoda; Branchiopoda; Diplostraca; Daphniidae
Exons: 3
Source: RefSeq, a predicted model, not a curated record